This 468-nucleotide ribosomal RNA is filed under the name uncultured bacterium. RNAcentral describes it as "partial 16S ribosomal RNA". It matches the Rfam family "Bacterial small subunit ribosomal RNA", at positions 28 to 507 of the family's 1533-position model. The record is from RNAcentral.
GACGAACGCUGGCGGCGUGCUUAACACAUGCAAGUCGAACGGAAAGGCCCUGCUUUUGUGGGGUGCUCGAGUGGCGAACGGGUGAGUAACACGUGAGUAACCUGCCCUUGACUUUGGGAUAACUUCAGGAAACUGGGGCUAAUACCGGAUAGGAGCUCCUGCUGCAUGGUGGGGGUUGGAAAGUUUCGGCGGUUGGGGAUGGACUCGCGGCUUAUCAGCUUGUUGGUGGGGUAGUGGCUUACCAAGGCUUUGACGGGUAGCCGGCCUGAGCGGGUGACCGGCCACAAUGGGACUGAGAUACGGCCCAGACUCCUACGGGAGGCAGCAGUGGGGAAUAUUGCACAAUGGGCGGAAGCCUGAUGCAGCAACGCCGCGUGCGGGAUGACGGCCUUCGGGUUGUAAACCGCUUUCGCCUGUGACGAAGCGUGAGUGACGGUAAUGGGUAAAGAAGCACCGGCUAACUACGUG